UUAAUUGAAGCCAAAAAGAGGCAUGUUACUGUUAAUGACAUAAUUGAAUAAAUAUUCCAAUUAAG
This 65-nucleotide transfer RNA is filed under the name Lonchoptera multiseta. RNAcentral's name for it is "tRNA-Asn". Lineage: Eukaryota; Metazoa; Arthropoda; Insecta; Diptera; Lonchopteridae. The record is from RNAcentral.